Molecule: ribosomal RNA, 840 nt
Filed under: uncultured bacterium
Lineage: Bacteria
Description: bacterial SSU rRNA
Rfam family: Bacterial small subunit ribosomal RNA
Source: RNAcentral
AUCGGGCCAGAGGGGGGUAUACAGAGGUCGUACCGAUAGUCAAAGCCAGUUAUUACGUACUGAAUGACCUCACGGUACUGCUCGGAUUGCAUGGGGUGAUACGCUGCGAUUUGGUACGGUAGUCUAAUCGAGACCGAUGAGCACGUACAUCUACUGACGUAAGGCUGAGUUCGUAUCGAACGAUAGAACUGUAUUCCGCACGUACGGAUGGAUGCCCGCUGUGCGAUACAAUUUCAGCGGCCAAGCGAAAGCGUUAAGCCAUCCCCCCUUGGGGAAUUACGCCGCCACCGGUGGAAGCGCGCAAGGAAUUGACGGGGCCCGCACAAGCGGGAGGAACAUGUGGUUUAAAUAGAUAGUAAACCGCGAAGACCUUACCCGGGCUUGAACUGCCAGCGGACGAUUCGAGGUGUGUGGCGCCUUCGGGGCGCUUGUGGAGGUGCUGCAUGGUGUCGUCAGCUCGUGCCGUGGAGGUGUCGGCUUAAGUGCCAUAACCGAGCGCAACCCCUUUCGCCCAGUUGCCAUCAGGUGAUGCUGGGCACUCUGGCGACACUGCCACCGCAAGGUGUGAGGAAGGUGGGGAUGACGUCAAAUCAGCACGGCCCUUACGUCCGGGGCUACACACGUGUUACAAUGGGAUAUACAGAGGGAAGCGAGCAGGUGACUGUAAGCGAAUCUCAGAAAGUAUUUCGUAGUCCGGAUUGAAGUCUGCAACUCGACUUCAUGAAGUUGGAAUCGCUAGUAAUCGCAAAUCAGAAUGGUGGGGGAGAAUACGUUCCCGGGCCUUGUACACACCGCCCGUCACACCAUGGGAGUGGAUUGCACCAGAAGUAGCCAGCUAAC